Molecule: transfer RNA, 73 nt
Filed under: Parcubacteria group bacterium
Lineage: Bacteria
Description: tRNA-Val
Rfam family: tRNA
About the family: Transfer RNA (tRNA) molecules are approximately 80 nucleotides in length. Their secondary structure includes four short double-helical elements and three loops (D, anti-codon, and T loops).
Source: RNAcentral
GGGCGGUUAGCUCAAUUGGCAGAGCACUUCGUUUACACCGAAGGGGUUAGGGGUUCAAGUCCCUUACCGCCCA